RNAcentral lists this ribosomal RNA (371 nucleotides) under uncultured bacterium. RNAcentral describes it as "bacterial SSU rRNA". It matches the Rfam family "Bacterial small subunit ribosomal RNA", at positions 527 to 896 of the family's 1533-position model. The record is from RNAcentral.
GUAGGGACCAAGCGUUGUUCGGAUUUACUGGGCGUAAAGGGCGCGUAGGCGGCAAUUCAAGUCAGCUGUGAAAUCUCCGGGCUUAACUCGGAACGGUCAGCUGAUACUGCUUUGCUAGAGUGCAGAAGGGGCAAUCGGAAUUCUUGGUGUAGCGGUGAAAUGCGUAGAUAUCAAGAGGAACACCUGAGGUGAAGACGGGUUGCUGGGCUGACACUGACGCUGAGGCGCGAAAGCUAGGGUAGCAAACGGGAUUAGAUACCCCGGUAGUCCUAGCCCUAAACGAUGAAUACUUGGUGUCUGGAGUUUUUAUCCUCCGGGUGCCGUCGCUAACGUUUUAAGUAUUCCGCCUGGGGAGUACGCACGCAAGUGUG